AGCCCAGGACCCAAGCGUCUCUGUGGAACGCCCAGGCUCCCACUCUGGAGAACUGCUGAGAGCUCUUGGAGGGGACCUAAGGUGAUAGACAGACCGCAGUUCCCAUCCCAGCAUAGCUUUCUGCUCCUCAGAUGUCUCAAACCUGAGUGUGACCCAGGGACUUGUGUGAGUGGGUGGCCAGGUGCCCUGUGGGCGGGUGGCAGGAGAGCUGCAGAGCCAGCCCGGCCUGAGGGGGGCAGCGGUGCCCAGCACUGGCUGUCGUUGCUAUGGGGACAUGCAGGCUCCAGUGCCAGCUCCUCAGAGACUUUAAAAAUAGCUGGGAAUCUGGACUUUUGUGUGAACGUUUUCCAAUGUGUGGGCGACCCUGCCUCCCACCUUCUGGGAUCCCUUUGUCUCUGCUUCCUCAGUGCAGAGGGAGGAGGGUUCUGGGGUCUGUGCUACUCCCUGCUGGCCUCCAGGGCUGGCCCAUCCUGCAGGCACCCGGCGCCAGCCAGGCGGGCCUUGUGCAGAAAUGGGUGCUGGAGAUGAGCACACCGGGGAGAUGCAGGGUCAUUAUGGGGUUCUCAGACCAACAGGGGACAGCGGAGGAAUGGGAACGAAGGAGCCAUGCCUGGCGCCUGCACCCUGGGCUGUUUUCUCACACAGCCCCCCUGGGUUUCCAGCAGAGUUGUGUAGCUUCCUCCUGAGACAGCGUGCAUGGUGGGUGGACGGCUUUGGACUCACAUCACCCUCUCCCUGCAUUGUCUCCAGCUCCUUCUCAGGUCCUCCCCCAAUGUCACCUCCUCCAGGAAGCCUUCUGGGACCAUCUCAGCCCUCGAGACAAGGGCCCCUGGCUCUAGGAAGCCUUCUCAAAGUUGCUGUGUGCUUGAGGCUGACUUGCUGGCUGAGAGCUCGUGGUUUCUCCGGCCCCCUCAGACAACCAGGACGAGCUCCCCCUCUCAGAGCACUCAGUCAGGGGCACCUUCAGCAUAGGGAGACGCUCACUGGCGCUGGGCAGCAGGACUCAGACGUGGGACUUUCCUCCAUGGAGCGAAGUGUGCACACCCAGAGGCGUGCGUCCUCUUUUACCAGAUUCAGCCCUGAGCCACAGUCCUCUGAGUUUCCAUGUCGUUUGAGGAGAGUGCAGUCCCCAGGCUCCAAAACACGCCGUCGAGAUACUUCCACAGGCUCAGAACCCUGUUCAACACGGAUGAAUUGAUUUUUCACUGUGUGACAGGCAGCCCUGCACUCAGCAACUUGGAACAGCGCACUUUUGCUCAUGCACAGUUGCUGUGGAUUGGGAUUCUGGACCUUGGAGAAAGCAGGAAGGAAGGAAGGGAGGGAGGGAAGGUGGGAGGGAGAGAGGAAGAGAGGGAGACUAGAUAGAGAGAUAGAGGAACAGACGGAGACAGAGGUACAGACCAGUAUCUUGGAGACACCUUGUUUUCUGGUUGUGAGACCCAAGUCAUUAAGUGGAGGCCCUGGGCAGAGGAGGGUGGCAGAAGGUACUGGUGCUCACUGGUACCUGCCAAGGACACCUUCCAGAAUCCAACAGACAUCAGACCCAGAAUGAGUCAAAUUACCCUUCAGGUUACUAGUGGAUUUGUUUCCUAAGUCACGAUAAUAAAUCUAAACAUUGUAAAACCAGCACUGUGUUCCUCAAGCAUCAGUGAAAUGGACACCAAAUGCCUCAGCAGGGUUGCACGGUCCCCACCUCCCUGUGCAGAAGGCACAGAGCAGUGAGUUAUGUUUUGGGGCGUAUGCAGCAGGGAGCCC
Molecule: long non-coding RNA, 1755 nt
Filed under: Chinchilla lanigera (long-tailed chinchilla)
Lineage: Eukaryota; Metazoa; Chordata; Mammalia; Rodentia; Chinchillidae
Description: lncRNA (ENSCLAG00000025887.1)
Source: RNAcentral